UGCACUUUUAGCUCAUGGAAGUCAGACUUACGGAAGAAUUUCAGAGAAACUUAAGAUUUCUGCAGUAACUUCGCCAGGAAAUCGGCUCAUUAUUUUGUAAAUAGUUCUGCUAAGACCUUGUUUGUUUCUGUCUUUGGUGGUUUCCUUGGCCUGCCUUCUGAUUUUCUGAGAAAUCAUGGUCUUGCCUCAGUUUAUCUGGUCGUAGCUGUGGUCAGUGUUGUAGCUGCUCUGCUGCACAUGAGGCCUGGCCCUCCCGGGGCUACGCGCCCGGCUGGGGAGCCCCAGGAACCGGGCAGUGAAGGCCCUCCCCGAGCCCCAUGGUGAGCGCGUCCGUGGAGGCCACGUCCUCGCUCUGCGUGAAGAAAGGGCACUAAGCGCCAGCAACUGAACUGGUAAACACUGUGUGCAGGACUCUGGGGGCCUGGAUUGAACUCCAAAUGUGCAAAAUCACCACUUGCACCUGUGCAUUGGCACCAAAUUGACAGAGGGGCCUCUGACUGCUUUGAUCAACUGGAUGUGGUGCAAAUGAUUUGUGCCAGUUCCCAGGCCCAGGCCUCGAGAGAGAGAGAGACCAGCAGCUUCCUUGCCUUCCCUUGGACCAUUCACUUUGACGGGAGGAAGGCUUACUGCCCCACGGAGAGGCCCUCCUGGAGAACUGAAGGUCUUUGCUAACAGCUCUGACUGAGCCCGUCCUGACCAUAACCAGACCACUUCACUUCUCACCUGAGAAGUGUAUUCUCCAGCUGUACUGGAGCUGCCCCAGCUAUGCCACAUGGAGCAGGGGUGCGUUGCCCCACCAAGUCCCAUCCGAAUUAUAGGUUCAUCAAUCAAAUACAUGAUUGUUGUU
Molecule: long non-coding RNA, 847 nt
Organism: Manis pentadactyla (Chinese pangolin)
Lineage: Eukaryota; Metazoa; Chordata; Mammalia; Pholidota; Manidae
Exons: 3
Source: RefSeq, a predicted model, not a curated record